CCUAAACUCAACAAACCACAUUAACAACCCCAAAUAACCCAAAGCUUAAUAAGCAAACCAUUUUUCCACCAAAGUAUGGGAGACAGAAAAGGACCCAGGAGCAAUAGAAUAAGUACCGUAAGGGAAAGCUGAAAGAGAAAUGAAAGAACCCAGUAAAGGACUAAUAAGCAGAGAUUUCCCCUCGUACCUUUUGCAUCAUGAUUUAGCGAGUAUUGAUGAGCGAAGGGCCCUUUAUGUUUACACCCCCGAAACUAGGCGAGCUACUCCAAGACAGCCUAUCAUAGGGCAAACCCGUCUCUGUGGCAAAAGAGUGGGAAGAGCUUUGAGUAGAGGUGACAGACCUACCGAGCCUAGUUAUAGCUGGUUGCCUAAGAAUUGAAUAGAAGUUCAGCCUUUUAGACUCUUUAACCACCCAGGGCACCGCCCCCUUCAGGAUAAAAGACGACUAAAAGAGUUAUUCAAAGAGGGGACAGCCCCCUUGAAAAGAGACACAACUUUAGGAGAAGGUAAAAGAUCAAAAUAAUUAAAGGAAAAUACCUAGGUGGGCCUAAAAGCAGCCACCCUUGCAGAUAGCGUUAAAGCUCAAGUAUAAGAAUCCUAAAAUCCCGACAAAAUUAUCUAAUACCCCUUGAUUUAUUAGGCCAACCUAUGUAGUCAUAGGUAAGACAAUGCUAGAAUGAGUAAUAAGAGAGUAAGACUCUCUCAAGAGCACAAGUGUAAAUCAGAACGAACCCGCACUGAAAAUUAACGCCCCCAAACAAAGAGGGAAAAGAGCCACAACCUACAAAACAAGAAGACCUCUCAAGCCAAAAGCGUUAACCCCACACAGGAGUGCCCCCUGAAAGACAAAAAGAAAAAGAAGGAACUCGGCAAACAAUGGCCUCGCCUGUUUACCAAAAACAUCGCCUCUUGCUAUUUUAAUAUAAGAGGUCCCGCCUGCCCUGUGACUAAUAGUUUAACGGCCGCGGUAUUUUGACCGUGCGAAGGUAGCGUAAUCACUUGUCUUUUAAAUAGAGACCUGUAUGAAUGGCACAACGAGGGCUAAGCUGUCUCCUUUUUCUAGUCAAUGAAAUUGAUCUGCCCGUGCAGAAGCGGGCAUGAACCCAUAAGACGAGAAGACCCUAUGGAGCUUAAGGCACUAUUACAGACCACGUCAAGACACCCCCAUAAAGGGGAACAAACCAAAUGGCCCCUGAAUUACUGCCUUUGGUUGGGGCGACCGCGGAGUAGCAAAAAACCUCCACGUGGAAUGAGUUAAGUCUCCUAAUGCAAGAGCCACAGCUCUAACAAGCAGAAAAUCUGACCACAAAGAUCCGGCAAAGCCGAUCAACGGACCCAGUUACCCUAGGGAUAACAGCGCAAUCCCCUUCUAGAGCCCAUAUCGACAAGGGGGUUUACGACCUCGAUGUUGGAUCAGGACCUCCUAAUGGUGCAGCCGCUAUUAAGGGUUCGUUUGUUCAACGAUUAAAGUCCUACGUGAUCUGAGUUCAGACCGGAGAAAUCCAGGUCAGUUUCUAUCUAUGUAGUGCCCCUUUCCUAGUACGAAAGGACCGGAAAGGGGGGGCCCCUGCUCCCGGUAUGCCCCACCCCCACCUAAUGACCCCCAAUAAAGGAGGCAAGGGGGGACUCACUGAAACCUGAGAAAAAGGCAA
RNAcentral lists this ribosomal RNA (1652 nucleotides) under Favonigobius reichei (Indo-Pacific tropical sand goby). RNAcentral describes it as "16S ribosomal RNA". It matches the Rfam family "Bacterial large subunit ribosomal RNA", at positions 379 to 2925 of the family's 2925-position model. Lineage: Eukaryota; Metazoa; Chordata; Actinopteri; Gobiiformes; Gobiidae. The record is from RNAcentral.